UACAGAGGUCUCAAGCGUUGUUCGGAUUCAUUGGGCGUAAAGGGUGCGUAGGCGGCGCGGUAAGUCGGGUGUGAAAUCUCGGAGCUUAACUCCGAAACUGCAUUCGAUACUGCCGUGCUUGAGGACUGGAGAGGAGACUGGAAUUUACGGUGUAGCGGUGAAAUGCGUAGAUAUCAGGAGGAACACCGAUGGCGAAGGCAGUGGUCUGGGCCGGAACUGACGCUGAAUAGCGAAAGCGUGGGUAGCGAACAGG
This 253-nucleotide ribosomal RNA is filed under the name uncultured bacterium. RNAcentral's name for it is "partial 16S ribosomal RNA". It matches the Rfam family "Bacterial small subunit ribosomal RNA", at positions 524 to 776 of the family's 1533-position model. The record is from RNAcentral.